UGGACAAGCACUGGGGAACAGCUGAGAGCACUAACACAGUGGACAGUAACAGAAUUCCCUGUCCUUUGCCAGCUGCACACCAGGGACUCUCCAGUUGUCCCAAGUGGCUUGGAAACCCAGAUUUGCCUUCCCAGUCAGAGGUUGCACACCAGGGACUCUCCAGUUACCCCACUUGGAUUGGAGAUCCAAGUCUGCGGCCUCUGUCCUCCUGUGUCUCCCACCACGUGCCAGGGAUCCUCACCUCUUCUUGAUUCCCUCCCUCCCUUUGGAAUGGCUGAGCCUAGCUGGCUUCAACAAAGCAUCUCCAGGUGUCCUACAUGGCCUGGAGACCCAGCUUCUGAAGAUUGGCAUUGAGAUUCUACUAACUACACAGAAGGUUUGCUCUUGGGCUCAGAAGUUCACAAAUCUCCAACAGUGCCAGCAACAUGUCUGACAUCUCAUCUGCACCUCAGCACAGAAUUACCACAAGAUUGAGCACUAAGCACCAUUCAGCUGGUGCUGAGAUUCAAGGCCUGCACUACCAAGCCCACUUUAUGUUGUAUUGGGGAUUGACCCAGGGCUUCACAUAUGAUAGAAAGCAGGGCUUAUAAUGUGGAUGCACUAUAACCCAGCACAGACUCGCUGAUGAUGAAUUCUGAAGUGGCAACAUAGGAAGAGACCCUGUGGUGAAGAUGCUUUCUGACAUCCAAGGGCCCGCUCCUGCUGUUCCUUCUGCCCAACAUACUCUUCCCUCCCGUGGCUCCCACUCAUCCAGCUUCUAUAUCUUAUUUCCAGAAAAUCUCCCUGGAUAUGUGCCUAGCUUUGUCACUCCUGGCCUUUCUUUGUAAGCUCUGUCCACCAAAAUUCCAUGUUCAACAUGCCCUUGGGUUGAAGUAGACCCUCAUGAAAGGCUAGCUCUGCCCCAAGCAUUGUGGUUACAGAGCAGUGUGUGCCUCAGCAGUUAGAGCAACAAAGGGUUCUUCGGGAAAGUCAAAUGUAGGCUGGGCUAUGAGACAGGUGGAGUGUAAUGAAGAGACGGACAGGAGAGGCCUGAAUCCCAGGUAGUAAUGAGGUGACUGCUGUUACCUUUGCACUGCUAAGCCACCAUUCAUGGUAUACACAGUCCACACAUCUCUAGUGAAGACACUGUAGGGGCCUUCGGCAGCCUCUUGGUUAGAGGGUGCCAUCACUGUGACACAGGACACUGCCAGAGGCUGUUAUGUGCAAGCAGAGUUAUGGAGUCUUAUACCAGGAGCCCCUGAGAACCACACUUGGAAGUGAACAACAGAACACUGGCCAUGCUGCCCUCAUCCAAUCACAGUGACUCACCUAUCAACACUUAUCAAUCACAGUGACUCACUUAUCAACACUCAACAAUCACAGAGAUUCAUCAACACCAGUCACAAGACUCACCAACGCACUCAUAAACAGGGUGAAGACAACUUUCUAGAGAGUAGGGGUCCCCAUAACACCAGGUUAGAAGACCACUAUUGCUGUCUUUGUACUUGGUACCAGGGGCCUGCAGUGAUUUUGGGGAUCUAUCAUUUUGGCCAGUUAUUCCUCAACAGUGUGUUGACAAAGAACAGGGGCUCUGAGGAAGUCUCACAGUGAACAUGCAUCUUGACCACAAACUUUUACCUUGAAAUGUUGAGGGGCCUAAAAAGGACUGGAAUCAAAGAUAGCCUCAUCCCCCUUUUAGAUGACCUGUGUGUGCCCAGUGGCACCAUGAGAUGCAGAAGUGCUCCUCUGCAGAGCUUGCAGUACUCAAGACAAACAGGCCAAGGGAUGGCGGGAAGGAGUUAGCACAGCAGCUGAGCUUCGCUAACCCUCAGGAGAUGGUGGGUUGUGACAUAGCACACAGGUCAUCUAAGGGGGCAGACAGCCUGUCUGGCAUUGCAACAGCUCUUGAAACCUGCAGAACCCUUACACACACACACACACACACACACACACACACACACACACACACACACAGGAGGUUUUAAGGGCAGAAAUAGAUUUCCACAUUCUGUCUGAGUCAACACAGAAUGCCCAAACUAAGAUCACCUUGGGAUACACUUCUUGGCAAAGUUUGGAAUGAGGCUCUAUUCUAGACUUGAAAGCAGUCUGCCUCUGCCAGCACACUUUCAAUGGGAGUGUCCCCACAGACAGUUGAUUAGACAAAUGAUUAGCCCAGUAGCAACAGAGAAACCAGGAGAAAAGAGGAAGCCUGGCUGCAGCCCUUUCCCACACUGCAACGCCCCCCACCCCUAUCCUCAGUGGCUGGUCUACUCCUGGAGAGAUGUCUGAUGCCCGUAAACUUGAAUGUAGAUCCUCAUGAGAUCUAACAGACUCUUCCUGGUAUCUUUGUUUUUCAGUGUUUUUAGAAAACCUGAAUGGGGUGUAAAUAGCCUUCAAGUAAAUCCGAAAGAUGGAUCUGUCUGAAGUGGAGUACAAUAAAGACUCAAAAAGCAUGGGAUUCUAUCUA
Molecule: long non-coding RNA, 2446 nt
Organism: Nannospalax galili (Upper Galilee mountains blind mole rat)
Lineage: Eukaryota; Metazoa; Chordata; Mammalia; Rodentia; Spalacidae
Exons: 6
Source: RefSeq, a predicted model, not a curated record